GGGCCCCCCCCGGGCUUGAGCCGGCCGGCGGCCCCCGGGGAGGCCGCCCUGGAGCUGGUGCUGGCGGCCUUGACCUUGGGGUCGGAGCUGGAGCCCGCGGGGGGGGCUCUGCCCCUGGUACCGUCGCUGCCGUCCCCCUUGGGAUCGCCGCUGUCGCCCCCGCUACGUCCGUCCCUGCCGUCGCCACCCCCCCGGGGACCCUCGCCGCCGCUGUCGCUGCACGGCCUGCCUUCCUCCUCCUCCGCCUCGCCGCCGUCGCCGCUGUACAAGACGGAGCUGUGCCGCCCCUUCGCCGCCACCGGCCGCUGCCGUUACGGCGCCCGCUGCCAGUUCGCCCACGGCCCCGGCGAGCUGCGGGGGCUCCGGCGCCACCCCAAGUACCGCACGCAGCCCUGCAGCACCUUCCUGCGCUGCGGCUCCUGCCCCUACGGCCCCCGCUGCCACUUCCUCCACGGCCCCCCCCCGCUCCAGCCGGCCCCGGCCCCGUUACUGGGGGAUGGCGGGGUGACGGCCAUGGGGCCCCCCCCCAGCAGCCCCCGCCGCCUCCCCGUCUUCGACCGCAUCUCGGUGGCGGAGUGACGCCCCUGUGGCCGUGGGGACCCCUCUGAGUGGGACGCCCCCACCCCGUGUUUUUUCUUUGGGGGGGGAAAACCGCUGUGAGGGCCCUCUCACGGCACCCUUUGUGCCUCUCAGGUGAAGGGGGGCCCCCUUUUAACCCCCCCCAUGCACUUUUGGGGGGGAGGCGCUGGAUGUAGCAGCUCCCCCAGAAGGGGGGGGCACGCCCUGAGCUCGUCUCGGUGGUGCUAAUUGGGGGGGGGGGUUGCCAGCGGGUCCUGGACUCCCCCUCCCCACACCCAAUUUAUGGCUUUAUUUAUUUAAGGUCGGUGCCUUGGGGCUGCCCCCGGCCCCGUGUGUGGGGAUGGAGGUUUUUUAGGGUAUUUAUGGGGUUUGUAGAGUUUUUUUGGGGGGUGGGGGUGACUUUUUUAGGGUAUUUAUGGGGUUUGUAGGGUUUGUUGGGGGGGGUGGGUUGGUAAAUAAACACUUGGGCUGUGACCGAACGCUCUCGCUU
RNAcentral lists this long non-coding RNA (1069 nucleotides) under Anser cygnoides (Swan goose). RNAcentral's name for it is "lncRNA (ENSACDG00005017422.1)". The record is from RNAcentral. Lineage: Eukaryota; Metazoa; Chordata; Aves; Anseriformes; Anatidae.